AACCUCCGCAAUGUGAGAAAUCGCGACGGGGGGAUCCCAAGUGCCAUUCUUAACGGGAUGGCUUUUCAUUAGUGUAAAGAGCUUUUGGAAUAAGAGCUGGGCAAGACCGGUGCCAGCCGCCGCGGUAACACCGGCAGCUCUAGUGGUAACAAUUUUUAUUGGGCCUAAAGCGUCCGUAGCCGGUUUAAUAAGUCUCUGGUGAAAUCCUGCAGCUUAACUGUGGGAAUUGCUGGAGAUACUAUUAGACUUGAGACCGGGAGAGGUUAGAGGUACUCCCAGGGUAGAGGUGAAAUUCUGUAAUCCUGGGAGAUCGCCUGUUGCGAAGGCGUCUAACUGGAACGGUUCUGACGGUGAGGGACGAAAGUUAGGGGCGCGAACCGGAUUAGAUACCCGGGUAGUCCUAACUGUAAACGAUGCGGACUUGGUGUUGGGGUGGCUUUGAGCUGCUUCAGUGCCGAAGGGAAGCUGUUAAGUCCGCCGCCUGGGAGUACGGUCGCAAGACUGAAACUUAAAGGAAUU
RNAcentral lists this ribosomal RNA (519 nucleotides) under uncultured bacterium. RNAcentral's name for it is "bacterial SSU rRNA". It matches the Rfam family "Archaeal small subunit ribosomal RNA", at positions 345 to 866 of the family's 1478-position model. The record is from RNAcentral.